Molecule: long non-coding RNA, 1123 nt
Filed under: Sus scrofa (pig)
Lineage: Eukaryota; Metazoa; Chordata; Mammalia; Artiodactyla; Suidae
Description: lncRNA (ENSSSCG00070000803.1)
Source: RNAcentral
AUUAUUUCUGACUCAUGGGAUUUUUAUCAUCUUUGAUCUGUCUGUGUUUUCUGAAUAUCAAGCAAUUAACAUAUAUUAAUUAUAUAAAGAAGAAAAUUUGUUAGAAAUAAAAUGAGAAAUGGGUUUGUUAGGAAAGAUAAAGAGUAAGAAUUGAGUUUGAAGUGAAAAAUUUUUUAAGAGGGUAAUUGCUAAAAUGGAGUCAGAGCACAAAGUUGAAUGAUAAUAUUUUGAACAAUUCAGCACCCAAAAAUGUUUUCUGCAUUAGAGGGCAACAUGUCCUGUGUUGUUAGCCAACAAUCUUGUCACAAUAUAUGACUUAUAAAGAUGAGGGGGAGGCCCAAUUUUGAGAUUUCUUUUGGCAGUAUAUUCUAUCUAAAAUGCUCUGGCUUUCUUGAAAACAUCUUUUAUCUAGAAAGUGGAAGAUAAAGAAUUUGAAAUAGAAGCUUAACAAAAAACAAAGAUGAACCCAGAAGACUGGUGGGUCUAGGACACACACGGUGCACAGGGCUGGCUGUGGUAGGUGGACUUCAGAGGAAUCCUGACCAAGGGCACCGCAGGGCGUAGUGCACUAGAGCCACAGAGCCGUGGGACACGUCCAUGGAGACCCACAGAGACUAAGAUCACUCUCCUCCCACCCGCUGCCUCCCUGAGGGCUGUAACCUCGCCUGUUUUUUCCUUGUUGUUGCCUCCCAGCAGAAAUCUGUGAGUGUACUGGUCGCAUCAUCUGCAGGGAAGGACAUGGCUUACGCUUUGAGUAACUACUCUUCCUUGCAUGUAGUUGAACCUGGGAAGGGAAUGGUGCCAUAUGGAGGAGACUGUGCCCCUCUUGUCACCUAUAUGCUAGGGGAUCUGUAUUGAAUGUAGGGUACUGCAUUAUCUUGAUCUCAGGAGACAAAGAUACUCCUUAAACUGGAGUUAGCCUUACCUUAAAGGAUGAGAUCAUUUCUUUGACCAGCAAUCUCUUUCUUAUCAAAUGUCCUCUCUCUGGUCCACAACAGAAUAGGAAGCCCAUAGGGAACCUUCUGGUUUUAACUUGGGCUUUUGACGUUGCCUUUGAAGAAUAUCCUGGAGCUUGAUCCAGAACAGCCAAAUAUAAGAUGACAAUUCCCAUAAGGGGACCAGC